Molecule: ribosomal RNA, 253 nt
Filed under: uncultured bacterium
Lineage: Bacteria
Description: partial 16S ribosomal RNA
Rfam family: Bacterial small subunit ribosomal RNA
Source: RNAcentral
GACGAGUCUCACGAACGUUGUCCGGAAUUAUUGGGCGUAAAGAGCUCGUAGGCGGCUUGUCACGUCGGGUGUGAAAGCCCGGGGCUUAACCCCGGGUCUGCAUUCGAUACGGGCUAGCUAGAGUGUGGUAGGGGAGAUCGGAAUUCCUGGUGUAGCGGUGAAAUGCGCAGAUAUCAGGAGGAACACCGGUGGCGAAGGCGGAUCUCUGGGCCAUUACUGACGCUGAGGAGCGAAAGCGUGGGGAGCGAACAGG